GACGGGACCCGCACAAGCGGUGGAUGAUGUGGUUUAAUUCGAUGCAACGCGAAAACCUUACCCACCUUUGACAUGGCAGGAAUCCCGAAGAGAUUUGGGAGUGCUCGAAAGAGAACCUGCACACAGGUGCUGCAUGGCUGUCGUCAGCUCGUGUCGUGAGAUGUUGGGUUAAGUCCCGCAACGAGCGCAACCCUUGCCAUUAGUUGCUACGAAAGGGCACUCUAAUGAGACUGCCGGUGACAAACCGGAGGAAGGUGGGGAUGACGUCAAGUCCUCAUGGCCCUUAUAGGUGGGGCUACACACGUCAUACAAUGGCCGGUACAAAGGGUCGCAAACCCGCGAGGGGGAGCCAAUCCAUCAAAGCCGGUCGUAGUCCGGAUCGCAGUCUGCAACUCGACUGCGUGAAGUCGGAAUCGCUAGUAAUCGUGGAUCAGCAUGUCACGGUGAAUACGUUCCCGGGUCUU
This 464-nucleotide ribosomal RNA is filed under the name uncultured Malikia sp. Its description in RNAcentral is "bacterial SSU rRNA". It matches the Rfam family "Bacterial small subunit ribosomal RNA", at positions 916 to 1381 of the family's 1533-position model. Lineage: Bacteria; Pseudomonadati; Pseudomonadota; Betaproteobacteria; Burkholderiales; Comamonadaceae. The record is from RNAcentral.